Molecule: ribosomal RNA, 873 nt
Filed under: Orsolobus sp. 1 NCP-2017
Lineage: Eukaryota; Metazoa; Arthropoda; Arachnida; Araneae; Orsolobidae
Description: partial 16S ribosomal RNA
Rfam family: Bacterial large subunit ribosomal RNA (bases 1-458)
Source: RNAcentral
UGCAAUUUUAUUGUACUAAGGUAGCAUAAUCAAUUGCCUUUUAAAUAAAGGAUAGAAUGAAAGGACAAACGAAUUUUAGACUUUCUUUAAAUUUCAAAACAAAAUUACAUAAUGAGUAAAAAUUCUCAUUAAAUCAGAAAGACGACAAGACCCUAUUGAACUUCACACACGUUUAGCUGGGGAAGCAAUUUAACAAAAUCUUAAAAAUAAUCUUUUAAAAAAGAACCUUUUUGAUAUUUGACCAAGUUACCAUAGGGAUAACAGCAUAAUAAAAUUUUAAAGCUCAUAUUUUAAAUUAAGUUUAUGACCUCGAUGUUGAAUUAAUAAUCUAGUAUAAUGCAAAAAUUUACUAAGAAAGACUGUUCGUCUUUUAAAUAAUUACAUGAUUUGAGUUCAGACCGGUGCAAACCAGGUCGGUUUCUAUCUUCUUUGACUAGUUAUUAGUACGAAAGGACCACAACUUAUUUAAAUUUACAAAUUUGACAGAAUAAUGUAUUAGAAUUAGAAUCUAACUAACCUCCCCCAUAUUACUAAUUAACUCAGUUAUUAUCAUAAUCUCUAUUCUUUUAAGUGUGGCUUUUUAUACUAUACUUGAACGAAAAGUUUUAAGCUACAUUCAAAUCCGAAAAGGCCCUAACAAAGUAGGUUUCCUAGGAAUUUUUCAACCAUUUAGCGACGCCAUCAAAUUAUUCACUAAAUCCUUUAAUUUUCCUGUCCCUACUAAUUACAAACUAGCAGUAAUUGCCCCCCCCAUAAGAUUUUUACUCGCCUUAAUCAUGUGACCUCUUCUCCCUUUUGGUAAAAAUAAUAUUAUUGACAGAAUUUUCAGCCUCCUUGUAUUUUUAAUUAUUUCAAGCUUAACCGUUUACUUUA